This is a non-coding RNA of Podarcis lilfordi (Lilford's wall lizard), 73 nucleotides long. The record is from the annotation of a GenBank genome assembly. NCBI's taxonomy places the organism in Eukaryota, Metazoa, Chordata, Lepidosauria, Squamata, Lacertidae.
GCUGGGAUAGCUCAGUUGGUAGAACGUUAGAUUCUUAAUCUUAGAGUCAUGGGUUUGGGCUCCACCUUGGGCA